Molecule: ribosomal RNA, 253 nt
Filed under: uncultured bacterium
Lineage: Bacteria
Description: partial 16S ribosomal RNA
Rfam family: Bacterial small subunit ribosomal RNA
Source: RNAcentral
GACGGAGGGUGCAAGCGUUGUUCGGAUUGACUGGGCGUAAAGGGCGUGUAGGCGGUCGGCCAAGUCUGAUGUGAAAGCCCGAGGCUCAGCCUCGGAAGUGCGUCGGAAACUAGUCGGCUGGAGCGCGAUAGAGGAGGGUGGAAUUCCUGGUGUAGCGGUGAAAUGCGUAGAUAUCAGGAGGAACACCGGCGGCGAAGGCGGCCCUCUGGAUCGUUGCUGACGCUGAGACGCGAAAGCGUGGGUAGCAAACAGG